This 467-nucleotide ribosomal RNA is filed under the name Coenosia agromyzina. Its description in RNAcentral is "partial 16S ribosomal RNA". It matches the Rfam family "Bacterial large subunit ribosomal RNA", at positions 1922 to 2598 of the family's 2925-position model. Lineage: Eukaryota; Metazoa; Arthropoda; Insecta; Diptera; Muscidae. The record is from RNAcentral.
UUUAAAUGGCCGCAGUAUCCUAACUGUGCAAAGGUAGCAUAAUCAUUAGUCUUUUAAUUGAAGGCUGGUAUGAAUGGUUGGACGAGAUAUUAACUGUUUCAUAAGAAUUUAUAAUAGAAUUUUAUUUUUUAGUCAAAAAGCUAAAAUAAAUUUAAAAGACGAGAAGACCCUAUAAAUCUUUAUAUUUAGAUAAUUAUAAUUUUGUAGAUUUUUUUUGUUAUGAUUAUUAAUAAUAUUUUAUUGGGGUGAUAUUAAAAUUUAAAAAACUUUUAAUUAAUUAAAUCAUUAAUUAAUGAAUAAUUGAUCCGUUAUUAACGAUUAAAAAUUUAAGUUACUUUAGGGAUAACAGCGUAAUUUUUUUGGAGAGUUCAUAUCGAUAAAAAAGAUUGCGACCUCGAUGUUGGAUUAAGAGAUAUAUUUAGGUGUAGCCGCUUAAAUGUUAAGUCUGUUCGACUUUUAAUUUCUUA